RNAcentral lists this transfer RNA (90 nucleotides) under Arcobacter sp. RNAcentral describes it as "tRNA-Ser". It matches the Rfam family "tRNA". Rfam says of the family: Transfer RNA (tRNA) molecules are approximately 80 nucleotides in length. Their secondary structure includes four short double-helical elements and three loops (D, anti-codon, and T loops). Lineage: Bacteria; Pseudomonadati; Campylobacterota; Epsilonproteobacteria; Campylobacterales; Arcobacteraceae. The record is from RNAcentral.
GGACGAGUGGGUGAGUGGCUGAAACCACACCCCUGCUAAGGGUGCGUAGGAGCAAUCCUACCGAGAGUUCGAAUCUCUCCUCGUCCACCA